RNAcentral lists this ribosomal RNA (591 nucleotides) under uncultured marine eukaryote. Its description in RNAcentral is "SSU rRNA". It matches the Rfam family "Eukaryotic small subunit ribosomal RNA", at positions 617 to 1208 of the family's 1831-position model. The record is from RNAcentral.
AGUUAAAAAGCUCGUAGUUGGAUUCCUGGCACGGGGUAGCCGGUCCGCCUUGCAAAAGGUGCGCACUGAGCGGCCUCGGCCAUCCUUGCGAUGGUCUAUCCUGGCAUUCAGUUGUCGGGGUGGGGAUUCGCGACGUUUACUGUGAAAAAAUCAGAGUGUUCAACGCAGGCUUACGCCUUGAAUACAUUAGCAUGGAAUAAUGAGAUAGGACCUUGGCGGUCUAUCUUGUUGGUUUGCACGCCGAGGUAAUGAUUAAAAGGGACGGUUGGGGUUCUUCGUAUUCAAUUGUCAGAGGUGAAAUUCUUGGAUUUAUGGAAGACGAACUGCUGCGAAAGCGUCGAACAAGGACGUUCUCAUUAAUCAAGAACGAAAGUUAGGGGAUCGAAGAUGAUUAGAUACCAUCGUAGUCUUAACCAUAAACUAUGCCGAUUCAGGAUUGGCGGUCGUUUGUUCUCGACUCCGUCAGCACUGUAUGAGAAAUCAAAAUCUUUGGGUUCCGGGGGGAGUAUGGUCGCAAGGCUGAAACUUAAAGAAAUUGACGGAAGGGCACCACCAGGAGUGGAGCCUGCGGCUUAAUUUGACUCAACACGG